ACGAACGCUGGCGGCGCGCCUAACACAUGCAAGUCGAACGGUCCAGCACUUUCGUAAGAAAGUGCUGGAUAGUGGCGGACGGGUGAGUAACACGUAGGUAACCUACCCUCGGGAUGGGGAUACCCCCGAGAAAUCGGGCUCAAUACCGAAUAAAAUUCCAAGGUGAGAGCCCUUGGGAGCAAAGCUACGAGUAAUCGUGGCGCCUGAGGAUGGGCCUUCGGUCCUAUCAGCUAGUUGGUGAGGUAACAGCUCACCAAGGCAGAGACGGGUAGCCGGACUGAGAGGUCGGCCGGCCACACUGGAACUGAGACACGGUCCAGACUCCUACGGGAGGCAGCAGUGAGGAAUCUUGCGCAAUGGGCGAAAGCCUGACGCAGCGACGCCGCGUGGGGGAAGAAGGCCUUCGGGUUGUAAACCCCUUUCGUGAGGGAAAAAGCCCCCAUUCUUGCUUUCGCAAGAAAGCAUGGGGGUGAUGGUACCUCAGGAAGAAGCCACGGCUAACUCUGUGCCAGCAGCCGCGGUAAGACAGAGGUGGCAAGCGUUGUUCGGAUUCACUGGGCUUAAAGCGCGUGUAGGCGUCCUGAUAAGUCAAGUGUGGAAUCCCUGGGCUCAACCCAGGAAUUGCACUUGAAACUGUCAUGAUUGAGUCAUGCAUGGGAGGGCGGAAUUCCCGGUGUAGCGGUGAAUGCGUAGAGAUCGGGAGGAAGGCCUGUGGCGAAGGCGGCCCUCUAGGCAAUGACUGACGCUGAUGCGCGAAAGCGUGGGGAGCAAACAGGAUUAGAUACCCUGGUAGUCACGCCCUAAACGGUGGGUACUAGGUGUGGGUGGCAGUAGCUAUCCGUGCCGAAGGGAAACCAUUAAGUACCCCGCCUGGGGAGUACGGCCGCAAGGUUGAAACUUAAAGGAAUUGACGGGGGCCCGCACAAGCGGUGGAGCAUGUGGUUUAAUUCGACGCUACGCGAAGAACCUUACCUGGGCUUGACAUGCUGGUGGUAAGAGCCCGAAAGGGGGAUGACCCCGACGAAAGUCGGGGAGCCAGUACAGGUGCUGCAUGGCUGUCGUCAGCUCGUGCCGUGAGGUGUUGGGUUAAGUCCCGCAACGAGCGCAACCCCUAUCCUCUGUUGCCCCGAGAAAUCGGGGGUCUCCGAGGAAACUGCCAGCGAAGAGCUGGAGGAAGGCGGGGAUGACGUCAAGUCCUCAUGGCCCUUAUGCCCAGGGCUACACACGUGCUACAAUGGCUGCUACAAAGGGAAGCUAACCCGCGAGGGAGAGCCAAUCCCAAAAAAGCGGUCUCAGUUGGGAUCGGAGUCUGCAACUCGACUCCGUGAACGCGGAAUCGCUAGUAAUCGUGGAUCAGCACGCCACGGUGAAUACGUUCCCGGGCCU
Molecule: ribosomal RNA, 1386 nt
Filed under: uncultured bacterium
Lineage: Bacteria
Description: bacterial SSU rRNA
Rfam family: Bacterial small subunit ribosomal RNA
Source: RNAcentral